GGGUGCGAUCAUACUAGCACUAACGCACUUGAUCCCAUCAUAACUCCACAGUUAAGCGUGCUUGGACGAGAGUAGUACUAGGAUGGGUGACCUCCUGGGAAGUCCUCGUAUUGCACCCC
Molecule: non-coding RNA, 119 nt
Organism: Beta vulgaris subsp. vulgaris (sugar beet)
Lineage: Eukaryota; Viridiplantae; Streptophyta; Magnoliopsida; Caryophyllales; Amaranthaceae
Source: Rfam